This is a long non-coding RNA of Vespula pensylvanica (western yellowjacket), 1627 nucleotides long. RefSeq lists it as uncharacterized. The transcript has 4 exons. Lineage: Eukaryota; Metazoa; Arthropoda; Insecta; Hymenoptera; Vespidae. The record is from RefSeq and is a predicted model, not a curated record.
UAUCGAUUUUCGUAGAAUUAUCGACAGUUAUCUAGCUUGAUACCGACUUACCGUCGUUACAUAAGCGUUAUCAUGUGAAAGUGAUGAAAGUUUUUAUUGAAAUUUCAUUGAUUCACGAUGCGGAAGAUGCACGAGUUCCGCGAAGUGAACGUAUCUUCGAUAUCGUCACUCAAUGGCAACCUCUAGGCGCAACAAAGGGAUGAUGCUCCGAAACGCGAGAUGGUAGCACCAAGUUUUAUCCCUUUAAACUAAUAUUUAUCUAAUAGAGAUUUAUUUUACCUAAACCAAAUUACGAUAUCGGCGGUAUAAUUGUAAUAUUAUUUUGUCUUUUUCGAUAUAAUUCAUCGGCUCGAUCGUUUCAAGUUUUAUAAGAAGAUUCGAAGAAGAGGAUCGAAAUCGAUAUAUCCGGGCACGUGUUUUCAGGUAGAUCUAAUUGGCCCGGAGGGUUUCAGAGCAAUGUGGACCAUUUCAGCGUCGGGCUGUGCAUCGAACAGCCGUGCAUUACCGCGGCAGAUGGUGCUCGUCGUGAUUGCAGCUGCUCUUAGAAGAACACCUGCCGUGGUCGUUCUCUCUGCCAACUAUCGAGAUGCACCGUAUCACUGUCAGUCCUUUCCGACCUCCCCUUUCCCUUCUCUUCCAUUUCUCUAUCUUCUUGCGUUCUCCGUCUGUCGGAUCCACGCAGUAUUAGCUGUACUGUGGCAUGCCGACAAAUGAAGGGACAAAGGGCCGCUUUAUUUCGGUCUCGCGGUCUCGACAUUAACGAGAAGACGACGACGGAUCGUUUGAACCCUAAAGAGGGCGAAAUUUUCAAAGAAGAGAAGGGCUUCCUUGUUAAAUUAUUUCUUUAUCUUUUUUUCAUGUAAGUUUCUUGACUUCUUCGUCCUUUGCAUUAGAAUCGAAUUCUUUUAGUUUUCCUCUAUUUCUUGAUUUCUCUUUUCUAGGCACCUCGUAGCAUAGAAAAAGCUUAUCCACCCGUUCUUCUUUUCAUAAGAAUGAGAAAAAUAAAGUUAAAGAAGGAGAAGAAGAAGAAGGAGAUGAAGAAAAAAAGAAGUUAGAACACAAUCCAUUUGGGAAAUCGAAAGGAACGUUCGGACGUUGCGUGAUAUUUCUGUGGAAUCAAGUUUCAGAGAGUAGUAUCUUGAAGCUAUCGCAAUUUUUAUUCCACAAUGGGUUAUGUGGAAUACAGGGGUUGUGAGUUAUCACGCUUGUAAGAGAAAAAAGGAUAGGAAGGACCAGAUGUGCAUAGAAUUUCAUCCAAGUAUUCCUCGAGGAAAACCAAGAAUCGUAUUAGAAGAAAAUUAAUUGUACAUCGAUGAGACUUUAAGUAGGUAGGUAUCGUAGUAUGAUGCUUUAGGGAAAGCUUGUUAUUUCGUCGGAAACAGAAAGAGAUUCGUCAUCCAGCGGAAGUUUGGUCGGUCCGUAGGGAGUCUCGUCGACUUAGCAACGAUUUUGAUGGAACGUUUUGGCGAGCAGGGAACAGCAGUGAUAGCUUUUUGACCGCUCCUUCGUUGUACUUGGACUUCUCUUCCGGUCGUCAGAGAAGAAAAAGAAAUAAAAGACUAGAAGAGAUAAUAAGGCAGGAAGUAUAAAGGAAGAGCUUUGUGAGAAGAAAAAGAAGUAAGAGAGA